RNAcentral lists this transfer RNA (74 nucleotides) under Kineosphaera limosa. RNAcentral's name for it is "tRNA-Leu". It matches the Rfam family "tRNA". Rfam says of the family: Transfer RNA (tRNA) molecules are approximately 80 nucleotides in length. Their secondary structure includes four short double-helical elements and three loops (D, anti-codon, and T loops). Further hydrogen bonds mediate the characteristic L-shaped molecular structure. tRNAs have two regions of fundamental functional importance: the anti-codon, which is responsible for specific mRNA codon recognition, and the 3' end, to which the tRNAs corresponding amino acid is attached (by aminoacyl-tRNA synthetases). tRNAs cope with the degeneracy of the genetic code in two manners: having more than one tRNA (with a specific anti-codon) for a particular amino acid; and 'wobble' base-pairing, i.e. permitting non-standard base-pairing at the 3rd anti-codon position. RNAcentral also lists the same sequence under 1 other name. The record is from RNAcentral. Lineage: Bacteria; Bacillati; Actinomycetota; Actinomycetes; Micrococcales; Dermatophilaceae.
GUCCCCGUAGCCCAACCGGCAGAGGCAGGCCACUUAAAAUGGACACAGUGCGGGUUCGAGUCCCGUCGGGGAUA